GACGAACGCUGGCGGCGUGCUUAACACAUGCAAGUCGAACGGAAAGGCCCUGCUUUUGUGGGGUGCUCGAGUGGCGAACGGGUGAGUAACACGUGAGUAACCUGCCCUUGACUUUGGGAUAACUUCAGGAAACUGGGGCUAAUACCGGAUAGGAGCUCCUGCUGCAUGGUGGGGGUUGGAAAGUUUGGGCGGUUGGGGAUGGACUCGCGGCUUAUCAUCUUGUUGGUGGGGUAGUGGCUUACCAAGGCUUUGACGGGUAGCCGGCCUGAGAGGGUGACCGGCCACAUUGGGACUGAGAUACGGCCCAGACUCCUACGGGAGGCAGCAGUGGGGAAUAUUGCACAAUGGGCGGAAGCCUGAUGCAGCAACGCCGCGUGCGGGAUGACGGCCUUCGGGUUGUAAACCGCUUUCGCCUGUGACGAAGCGUGAGUGACGGUAAUGGGUAAAGAAGCACCGGCUAACUACGUG
This 468-nucleotide ribosomal RNA is filed under the name uncultured bacterium. RNAcentral's name for it is "partial 16S ribosomal RNA". It matches the Rfam family "Bacterial small subunit ribosomal RNA", at positions 28 to 507 of the family's 1533-position model. The record is from RNAcentral.